Molecule: ribosomal RNA, 468 nt
Filed under: uncultured bacterium
Lineage: Bacteria
Description: partial 16S ribosomal RNA
Rfam family: Bacterial small subunit ribosomal RNA
Source: RNAcentral
GACGAACGCUGGCGGCGUGCCUAACACAUGCAAGUCGAACGAACAGACCAUGAGUUUGUUGCGUGCACGUGAGCCGAGGACGUGUGAGUAACACGAGUAUACCCCACCUGUAUUUGUGGUAUAACUUCGGAACUCCGGCUCUUACACGGGAUAAUAUAUUGAACCGUGUUGGUGGAUGGAGAGUGUCGGCGGUUGUGGAUGGACUAGAGGGUUCUCAGCUUGUUUGUGGGGUAGUGGAUGACCAAGGCUACGACGGGUAGCCGGCCUGAGAGGGUGACCGGCCACAUUGGGACUGCGGUACGGCGCAGACUCGUACGGGAGGCAGCGGUGGAGAACAUUGCACAAUGAGCCGACGUCUGAUGCAACGGCGCCGCGUGCGUGAUGACCUCCUUCUAGGUGUAAACCACUGUCUCCGGUGACGAAGCGUGAUUGACGGUAAUUGGUAAAGAAGCACCGGCUAACUACGUG